GUAAACGAUGAGUGCUAAGUGUUGGAGGGUUUCCCCUUUCAGUGCUGCAGCUAACGCAUUAAGCACUCCGCUGGGGAGUACGACCGCAAGGUUGAAACUCAAAGGAAUUGACGGGGGCCCGCACAAGCGGUGGAGCAUGUGGUUUAAUUCGAAGCAACGCGAAGAACCUUACCAGGUCUUGACAUCCUUUGACCACUCUAGAGAUAGAGCUUUCCCUUCGGGGACAAAGUGACAGGUGGUGCAUGGUUGUCGUCAGCUCGUGUCGUGAGAUGUUGGGUUAAGUCCCGCAACGAGCGCAACCCUUAUUGUUAGUUGCCAUCAUUCAGUUGGGCACUCUAGCGAGACUGCCGGUGACAAACCGGAGGAAGGUGGGGAUGACGUCAGAUCAUCAUGCCCCUUAUGACCUGGGCUACACACGUGCUACAAUGGGAAGUACAACGAGUCGCUAGGCCGCGAGGUCAUGCAAAUCUCUUAAAGCUUCUCUCAGUUCGGAUUGCAGGCUGCAACUCACCUGCAUGAAGCCGGAAUCGCUAGUAAUCGCGGAUCAGCACGCCGCGGUGAAUACGUUCCCGGGCCUUGUACACACCGCCCGUCACACCACGAAAGUUUGUAACACCCGAAGUCGGUGAGGUAACCUUUUGGAGCCAGCCGCCUAAGGUGGGAUAGAUGAUUGGGGUGAAGUCGUAACAAGGUAACCAAGGGCGAAUUCUG
This 711-nucleotide ribosomal RNA is filed under the name uncultured Enterococcus sp. RNAcentral describes it as "bacterial SSU rRNA". It matches the Rfam family "Bacterial small subunit ribosomal RNA", at positions 802 to 1515 of the family's 1533-position model. Lineage: Bacteria; Bacillati; Bacillota; Bacilli; Lactobacillales; Enterococcaceae. The record is from RNAcentral.